This 497-nucleotide ribosomal RNA is filed under the name uncultured bacterium. RNAcentral describes it as "partial 16S ribosomal RNA". It matches the Rfam family "Bacterial small subunit ribosomal RNA", at positions 28 to 507 of the family's 1533-position model. The record is from RNAcentral.
GAUGAACGCUGGCGGCGUGCCUAAUACAUGCAAGUCGAGCGAACAGACGAGGAGCUUGCUCCUUUGACGUUAGCGGCGGAGGGGUGAGUAACACGUAGGUAACCUACCUAUAAGACUGGGUUACCUUCGGGAAACCGGAGCUAAUACCGGAUAAUAUUUCGACCCGCAUGGUUCGAUAGUGAAAUUUGCCUUUGCUAUCCCUUAUAGACGACCCGGCGCCGUAUUAGCUAGUUGGUAAGGAAACGGCUUACCAAGGCAACGAUACGUAGCCGACCUGAGAGGGUGAUCGGCCACACUGGAACUGAGACACGGUCCAGACUCCUACGGGAGGCAGCAGUAGGGAAUCUUCCGCAAUGGGCGAAAGCCUGACGGAGCAACGCCGCGUGAGUGAUGAAGGUCUUCGGAUCGUAAAACUCUGUUAUUAGGGAAGAACAAACGUGUAAGUAACUGUGCACGUCUUGACGGUACCUAAUCAGAAAGCCACGGCUAACUACGUG